AGGCACACUUGCCAAUCAACCACGCAUAGAAUAUAGUUACAUCAGUUAAAAUCAAGCAAAAUUCAAAAAUUCUUUUGUACAUCCAGAAGCAUUGAAACAGGUAAAUAAGCAUGACGUGCUUAGAUCAAAAGCCAUAUGGACCACCCAUCUUUAUGAGCACCUCACCAUCUGCCCUGUGUAGUAAUAUGACAUUAGGUUACUGAAAAGCAGGGAAAACCGGAUCCUUCAUACUACUACUAGUUUUUGUGUAUGACUGUCGAUAUCAAAAUUGUAUAAUUAGGCUGUGUAAACUGUGUACGUUACAAUUGUGAAUUUUAAGUGAACUUUUCUGAAGAGGACUUCCAACGCCUUGAACCUAUACUUGAUGGUCUGGGCCCUUCUUGUCCUCUGAAUUUUGUGGAGAAGACUUCCUUUCCAUUGCCUGUUUGCAUACCAAGUUUAAAUCCUCUGUCCUCCUCUUUAUCUCCGAUGACCAUAAUACAGGAUUGGUGUUCUUGGGUAGGGAAUCUUGUUGUUGGGUUCUCUCUCUCAGCCAAUGCUCAGCUUUAUUGCACUCAUUAAUGAUCAAUUCCCUAUCCUCAGUUGGGAGAGAAUUAACAUGCAUGCGAUACUCCACAAUGCAAUUUAACAAUUCUCGUUUAGCUUGUGCUCUCGCUUCUUCAUCUUUAAAUCGAUUCUCAAUGGGAUCCACCAACUUCCUAAGAUCCUGCAUUUUUGAGGUAUAGGCAUUCUCAGUUUCAUCAUCACCAUCUUCAUAAAGCCAGUCCUCUGUCUCCUGUAGGCUCCUGGAGAU
Molecule: unclassified non-coding RNA, 793 nt
Filed under: Hevea brasiliensis (rubber tree)
Lineage: Eukaryota; Viridiplantae; Streptophyta; Magnoliopsida; Malpighiales; Euphorbiaceae
Source: RNAcentral